Molecule: ribosomal RNA, 517 nt
Filed under: uncultured Candida
Lineage: Eukaryota; Fungi; Ascomycota; Saccharomycetes; Saccharomycetales
Description: eukaryotic LSU rRNA
Rfam family: Eukaryotic large subunit ribosomal RNA
Source: RNAcentral
AAACCAACCGGGAUUGCCUCAGUAACGGCGAGUGAAGCGGCAAAAAGCUCAAAUUUGAAAUCUCCGUAAGGCGAGUUGUAAUUUGAAGAGGGUACUUUGGGGCGGCGCCUUGUCUAUGUUCCUUGGAACAGGACGUCACAGAGGGUGAGAAUCCCGUGCGAUGAGGAGAGCCGUUCUAUGUAAAGUUCCUUCGACGAGUCGAGUUGUUUGGGAAUGCAGCUCUAAGUGGGUGGUAAAUUCCAUCUAAAGCUAAAUAUUGGCGAGAGACCGAUAGCGAACAAGUACAGUGAUGGAAAGAUGAAAAGCACUUUGAAAAGAGAGUGAAAAAGUACGUGAAAUUGUUGAAAGGGAAGGGCUUGAGAUCAGACUUGGUGACUCGUCACUGGGGCCAGCAUCGGGUUCGGGCGGCAGGGAGAAUGCCGCGGGAAAAGUGGGCUCGUUCUUCGGGGAGAGUGUUAUAGGCCCGCGGAGAUACCUGCCUGGCGUGGACCGAGGACUGCGGCAACUGGAUGCUGGC